CCUACGGGUGGCAGCAGUAGGGAAUAUUGCUCAAUGGGGGAAACCCUGAAGCAGCAACGCCGCGUGGAGGAUGAAGGUUUUCGGAUUGUAAACUCCUUUUGUUAGAGAAGAUAAUGACGGUAUCUAACGAAUAAGCCCCGGCUAACUCCGUGCCAGCAGCCGCGGUAAUACGGAGGGUGCAAGCGUUACUCGGAAUUACUGGGGGUAAAGAGCGCGUAGGCGGGAUUGCAAGUCAGCUGUGAAAUCCUAUGGCUUAACCAUAGAACUGCAUUUGAAACUAGUAGGCUAGAGUAUGGGAGAGGUAGGUGGAAUUCUUGGUGUAGGGGUAAAAUGCGUAGAGAUCAAGAGGAAUACUCAUUGCGAAGGCGACCUGCUAGAACAUAACUGACGCUGAUGCGCGAAAGCGUGGGGAGCAAACAGGAUUAGAUACCCCUGUAGUC
Molecule: ribosomal RNA, 440 nt
Filed under: uncultured bacterium
Lineage: Bacteria
Description: partial 16S ribosomal RNA
Rfam family: Bacterial small subunit ribosomal RNA
Source: RNAcentral